Long non-coding RNA from Pan troglodytes (chimpanzee), 904 nucleotides. RefSeq lists it as uncharacterized. The transcript has 3 exons. The record is from RefSeq and is a predicted model, not a curated record. Lineage: Eukaryota; Metazoa; Chordata; Mammalia; Primates; Hominidae.
GGCGCAGGCCCAGACGGCAGCCGACUCUCCCGAGACACAGGGCCGAGAAGAGCCGUCGGCAAACGCACCAGACGGGCGGAAAAAAAGAGCAGGAUGAAGGGAGGAAGAUAUAGCCAGCCAGAGAAGGGAGAAGAGGAGAAACAUCUGGAAAAUAUCAGUGUUGCAGAGCCUCCCGGAAACUGACCUCGCCACCGAAAGGGUGAAUGGGGUCAACAUGGAAACAGCAUGAGAGGGGCCACAGAAGGGAUUCACCAGGAAGAAGAGGAAAGGCGGGGCUGAGGUGGCCAGGACAGCACGACAUCACAUCUGACCAAGGCAUCCUCAGCCUUCCUUCAGAAAAGCAGCAGAAAGAAAAAGGGAUCAAAAAUCACAGUGUGGAACUCAGGCUUGAAAGAAACCUUAGAUGUUGUCUAUUCUUUUUUUUUUUUUUUUUUUUGAGAUGGAGUUUUGCUUUUGUUGCCUAGUCUAGAGUGCAGUGGUGCAAUCUCAGCUCACUGCAACCUCUGCCUCCCAGGUUCAAGCAAUUCUCCUGUCUCAAUCUCCUGAGUAGCUGAGAUUACAGGCAUGUGCCACCCUGCCUGGCUAAUUUUGUAUUUUUAGUAGAGACAAGGUUUCACCAUGUUGGCCAGGCUGGUCUUGAACUCCUGACCUCAGGUGAUCCACCCACCUCAGCCUCCCAAAGUGCUGGGAUUACAAGCGUGAGAUUCCGUGCCCGGCCAGAGAUUGUUUAAUCCUCUACCUGGCUGGUGAAGCAAUCUCCUAUCACAUCACCGGCAACAGACAUUCAUCCAGAAUUGCCUUGACAAACUUUACUACCAGAGACAGCCUCCUUGAAAAAACAACUCCAUUUCCAUCCUAACCGUUAGAAAGUUCCUGUGUAUACUAAACUAAAAUUCAAGUCUAA